RNAcentral lists this ribosomal RNA (253 nucleotides) under uncultured bacterium. RNAcentral's name for it is "partial 16S ribosomal RNA". It matches the Rfam family "Bacterial small subunit ribosomal RNA", at positions 524 to 776 of the family's 1533-position model. The record is from RNAcentral.
UACAGAGGUCCCAAGCGUUGUUCGGAUUCACUGGGCGUAAAGGGUGCGUAGGUGGCCAGGUAAGUUUGGUGUGAAAGCUCGGAGCUUAACUCCGAAAAGUCAUUGAAUACUAUCUGGCUGGAGGGUCGGAGGGGAGACUGGAAUUCUCGGUGUAGCAGUGAAAUGCGUAGAUAUCGUAAGGAAGACCAGUGGCGAAGGCGGGUCUCUGGACAGUUCCUGACGCUGAGGCACGAAGGUCAGGGGAGCAAACGGG